Molecule: ribosomal RNA, 253 nt
Filed under: uncultured bacterium
Lineage: Bacteria
Description: partial 16S ribosomal RNA
Rfam family: Bacterial small subunit ribosomal RNA
Source: RNAcentral
UACAGAGGUCCCAAGCGUUGUUCGGAUUCAUUGGGCGUAAAGGGUGCGUAGGUGGCGUCGUAAGUCGGGUGUGAAAUCUCGGGGCUUAACUCCGAAACUGCAUUCGAUACUGCGGUGCUUGAGGACUGGAGAGGAGACUGGAACUUCCGGUGGAGCGGUGAAAUGCGUUGAGAUCGGAAGGAACGCCCGUGGCGAAAGCGGGCUCCUGGACCCCAACUGACGCUGAGGCGCGAAAGCCAGGGGAGCGAACGGG